This is a long non-coding RNA of Pan troglodytes (chimpanzee), 1258 nucleotides long. RefSeq lists it as uncharacterized. The record is from RefSeq and is a predicted model, not a curated record. Lineage: Eukaryota; Metazoa; Chordata; Mammalia; Primates; Hominidae. The transcript has 2 exons.
AGUUUCCUGGGUCAGAGGAACCUGCUGUGUGUUUGCUGGGUGACUUUGUGUGAGUGAUCAGCCUCUCUGCGGCUCAGUUUCCUCAUCCAGAAGACAGAGGUACUGAUCCUCACCCUGUAGGGGUGCUGUGAACACUGGAUGGUAAUGUGUGUAGAGCACUCAGCAGUGUCUGGCAAGGGGGUGAGUACUUAAUAAUUGCACAUUGUUGCGUUCAGGGUAGCCAGGAACAAACAUUCACUCACUUGCCAAGAGGAGAACAUGACAGCUGCACUUCCCUGGAGGACUGGGCUCUCGGGUCAUCAAGAAAGUCUCCCUCUCUCCACCCAGAGCAGAUGAUGAGGAAACUGAGAGCCGAAAAGGUUAAGCAACUUUCCCAAAUUUACAGAGCCGGUGAGCAACAGCGCGCCACAGCAGUCUGGCUUCCACGUACCUGGGCACUCUGCUGUGCCACUCUGGCCAGGCUGACUCUAGUGGGGGCACCUGCAGGGAGGAGCUGGAGGUCAGGCAGUCUAGGGAGGCCAAUGGCAGGUGGCAGGGCCUUCAGAAGCCCUCAGACAGAGGCGUUUCCUGAAAUGCAGCCCUCUGGCCUUCCUAGGGAACUCUAAAAUGAGCUAUUCCCUCUUCUCUCGUCCGCAUGCAGGUCCCUGAGGUAUUUGGAAAUUUGUUAAGGGAUUUGGGGGCUCAAGAUUCUGGCUUUUUAAUAUCUUUCAACUGUCCAUGUGGCGGCGAUCUGUGCCACCCACCUUGUUAUUUCAGUCUGUUCUGGGAGAUGGAUGGCCCAGGCUCUGAUUUAAGAUCUGCCGCGGCAAUCCUCAAUUUCCCAUGUCUCAUGGGGGACAGUGACAAGGCAGCAAGCACACGGAAGACGGCUUAGCUGUGCCCAGACUCCAGGCCCAAGAGCCCACAGCACCUGCAGAAAAAGUUCCAACCAGAAAAACCUGGGCAAAAACAGACAGGCCCAGCAGACCUUUCCCGCAGGUGAUGUGGAAACCCAUUCAUAAUAGAGCCGGAGGGGCCCCAGAGGUGAGCUGAACCAACUCCAGUAUCUCACAGCUGGGCAAACUGAGGCCCAGAGAAGUUGCGUGACUUACCCAAGGCCAUGCAGAAGUGAAUUGAGCCUCCAACUGCAUCUCCUUUUUCAGGAAAAGCCCUCUUACUUGCCUCCUAUCCCCCACUUCUGCCCUGUUCUGGAUGAAUUCCUCUUCUGGAUGAAUCAACCUCUUUGUUGUUGAAAUAAAACAAAAAGGUGGGGGCCUUA